AUUGAACGCUGGCGGAAUGCUUUACACAUGCAAGUCGAACGGUAGAGGGGGCAACCCCUCGAGAGUGGCGAACGGGUGAGUAAUAUAUCGGAACGUGCCCAGUCGUGGGGGAUAACGUAGCGAAAAUUACGCUAAUACCGCAUACGAUCUAUGGAUGAAAGCGGGGGAUCGCAAGACCCCGCGCGAUUGGAGCGGCCGAUAUCAGAUUAGGUAGUUGGUGGGGUAAAGGCCCACCAAGCCAACGAUCUGUAGCUGGUCUGAGAGGACGACCAGCCACACUGGAACUGAGACACGGUCCAGACUCCUGCGGGAGGCAGCAGUGGGGAAUUUUGGACAAUGGGCGAAAGCCUGAUCCAGCCAUUCCGCGUGCAGGAUGAAGGCCCUCGGGUUGUAAACUGCUUUUGUACAGAACGAAAAGGUUUCUACUAAUACUAGGAGCUCAUGACGGUACUGUAAGAAUAAGCACCGGCUAACUACGUGCCAGCAGCCGCAGUAA
This 496-nucleotide ribosomal RNA is filed under the name uncultured bacterium. RNAcentral's name for it is "partial 16S ribosomal RNA". It matches the Rfam family "Bacterial small subunit ribosomal RNA", at positions 30 to 523 of the family's 1533-position model. The record is from RNAcentral.